Molecule: ribosomal RNA, 460 nt
Filed under: uncultured bacterium
Lineage: Bacteria
Description: partial 16S ribosomal RNA
Rfam family: Bacterial small subunit ribosomal RNA
Source: RNAcentral
CCUACGGGUGGCAGCAGUGAGGAAUAUUGGUCAAUGGACGAGAGUCUGAACCAGCCAAGUAGCGUGAAGGAUGACUGCCCUAUGGGUUGUAAACUUCUUUUAUAUGGGAAUAAAAUGUUCCACGUGUGGGAUUUUGUAUGUACCAUAUGAAUAAGGAUCGGCUAACUCCGUGCCAGCAGCCGCGGUAAUACGGAGGAUCCGAGCGUUAUCCGGAUUUAUUGGGUUUAAAGGGAGCGUAGGUGGAUUGUUAAGUCAGUUGUGAAAGUUUGCGGCUCAACCGUAAAAUUGCAGUUGAAACUGGCAGUCUUGAGUACAGUAGAGGUGGGCGGAAUUCGUGGGGUAGCGGUGAAAUGCUGAGAUAUCACGAAGAACUCCGAUUGCGAAGGCAGUUCACUGGACUGCAACUGACACUGAGGCUCGAAAGUGUGGGUAUCAAACAGGAUUAGAUACCCUUGUAGUC